AACGAACGCUGGCGGCAUGCCUAACACAUGCAAGUCGAACGAGACCUUCGGGUCUAGUGGCGCACGGGUGCGUAACGCGUGGGAACCUGCCCUUAGGUUCGGAAUAACUCCCCGAAAGGGGUGCUAAUACCGGAUAAUGUCUUCGGACCAAAGAUUUAUCGCCUUUGGAUGGGCCCGCGUUGGAUUAGCUAGUUGGUAGGGUAAAAGCCUACCAAGGCGACGAUCCAUAGCUGGUCUGAGAGGAUGAUCAGCCACACUGGGACUGAGACACGGCCCAGACUCCUACGGAAGGCAGCAGUGGGGAAUAUUGGACAAUGGGCGAAAGCCUGAUCCAGCAAUGCCGCGUGAGUGAUGAAGGCCUUAGGGUUGUAAAGCUCUUUUACCCGGGAUGAUAAUGGCAGUACCGGGAGAAUAAGCUCCGGCUAACUCCGUG
Molecule: ribosomal RNA, 433 nt
Filed under: uncultured bacterium
Lineage: Bacteria
Description: partial 16S ribosomal RNA
Rfam family: Bacterial small subunit ribosomal RNA
Source: RNAcentral